Molecule: ribosomal RNA, 274 nt
Filed under: uncultured bacterium
Lineage: Bacteria
Description: partial 16S ribosomal RNA
Rfam family: Bacterial small subunit ribosomal RNA
Source: RNAcentral
AUACGUAGGUCCCGAACGUUGCGCGAAAUUACUGGGCGUAAAGGGUCCGUAGGCGGUCUGGUAAGUGGAAGGUGAAAGCCUGGGGCUCAACUCCAGAAUUUCCUUCCAAACUGCCGGACUUGAGGCAGGGAGCGGUCGGCGGAAUUCCCGGUGUAGUGGUGAAAUGCGUAGAUAUCGGGAGGAACACCAGUGGCGAAGGCGGCCGACUGGAACUGUCCUGACGCUGAGGGACGAAAGCCAGGGGAGCGAACCGGAUUAGAAACCCUAGUAGUCC